This 480-nucleotide ribosomal RNA is filed under the name uncultured bacterium. Its description in RNAcentral is "partial 16S ribosomal RNA". It matches the Rfam family "Bacterial small subunit ribosomal RNA", at positions 28 to 507 of the family's 1533-position model. The record is from RNAcentral.
GAUGAACGUUGGCGGCGUGCCUAACACAUGCAAGUCGAGCGGAGAGGAAGAGAGUGAGCUGGGCGGAGGGGACUUGUUUCGGUGCAGCGGCGGACGGUAGAGUAAUACAUGAUGAACGUUCCCUCUACAAGGGUAGAGCCAGGGGAAACCACGAUUAAUAGCCGAUUGGACGGCGUUGGCGCGUUCUGGUGGGUGGGAAUGGUUAUCGGUAGAAGAUGGACUCAUGACCCAUUAGCUAGUUGGUGAUUUAAGAGGCCACGCAGGCGACGGUGGGUAGCCGGAUAGAGAGAGUGACCGGCCACAUUGGAACUGAGACACCGGACAGCCUCCUACGGGAGGAAGCAGUGGGGAAUAUCGCACAACGGGGGAAACACUGAUGAAGCGACGUUGCGUGAGCGAAGCCGGCCUUCGGGUAGUCACGCUCUGUUCUAUGGGAAGAAAAGGACGGUACAAUAGAAGGAAGCCACGGCUAACUACGUG